AUACUUACCUAGCAGGGUAGAUGCCAUGAUCACAUAGGUGGUUUUCCCAGGGUGAGGCUUAUCCAUUGCACUCCGGAUGUGGUGACCCCUGUGAUUUCCCCAAAUUGGGAAACUCGACCACAUAAUUUGUAGUAGUGGAGGACUUCUGCGUGCUCUCCC
This is a small nuclear RNA of Cricetulus griseus (Chinese hamster), 159 nucleotides long. Its record names the gene U1. It matches the Rfam family "U1 spliceosomal RNA". From Rfam's summary of the family: U1 is a small nuclear RNA (snRNA) component of the spliceosome (involved in pre-mRNA splicing). Its 5' end forms complementary base pairs with the 5' splice junction, thus defining the 5' donor site of an intron. There are significant differences in sequence and secondary structure between metazoan and yeast U1 snRNAs, the latter being much longer (568 nucleotides as compared to 164 nucleotides in human). Lineage: Eukaryota; Metazoa; Chordata; Mammalia; Rodentia; Cricetidae. The record is from Ensembl.